This 1438-nucleotide ribosomal RNA is filed under the name Tetramorium kraepelini. Its description in RNAcentral is "partial 28S ribosomal RNA". It matches the Rfam family "Eukaryotic large subunit ribosomal RNA", at positions 364 to 1413 of the family's 3401-position model. Lineage: Eukaryota; Metazoa; Arthropoda; Insecta; Hymenoptera; Formicidae. The record is from RNAcentral.
UUGAAAAGAACUUUGAAGAGAGAGUUCAAGAGUACGUGAAACCGUUCAGGGGUAAACCUAAGAAACCCAAAAGAUCGAACGGGGAGAUUCAUCGUCAGCGACGCUGGCUUCGCGUCGGUGGGCGAUGUCCCGCGGGGCCUCGCGGCUCGCGCGCGGGCACGCUGCCGUGCGUCGAUGUCCGGCGUUCGUCGUCGUGCACUUCUCCCCUAGUAGAACGUCGCGACCCGCUGGGUGUCGGUCUACGGCCCGGGUGCGGUGACUGACGCGUCGCCGGUAAAACGGCACGCGUCAAACCCCCGGUCGCCCGGCCGGCUGCCCGGCGGUACACGCAAGGUAUCAGGCCGCAGCUCUCGAUCUAAAACUCCCGAGCCUGUGCGUCGAGGCCGUCGCAAGCGCGCGCCACGGUACACGGAGGCUAACGGACCUAGUGCCGUCACCGGUCCUGGCCCGCUGCUGGCUCGUACGGUUAACCUUCGACAGGCCCGCAAACGCGGCCCUCGGGUCCGCGCGUCGGCGCGCGCGGGGACCGCGAUACCGGUCGGCGACGCUACUGCUUUGGGUACUCUUAGGACCCGUCUUGAAACACGGACCAAGGAGUCUAACAUGUACGCGAGUCAUUGGGACUAGCGACACCUAAAGGCGCAAUGAAAGUGAAGGUCGGCCCUGGUUGUCGACCGAGGGAGGAUGGGCCGCGUCGCGACGCGGCUCCGCACUCCCGGGGCGUCUCGUUCUCAUCGCGAGAAGAGGCGCACCCAGAGCGUACACGUUGGGACCCGAAAGAUGGUGAACUAUGCCUGGUCAGGACGAAGUCAGGGGAAACCCUGAUGGAGGUCCGUAGCGAUUCUGACGUGCAAAUCGAUCGUCGGAACUGGGUAUAGGGGCGAAAGACUAAUCGAACCAUCUAGUAGCUGGUUCCCUCCGAAGUUUCCCUCAGGAUAGCUGGCACUCGGCCGUUCCCGCACGGAACGCGAGCGAGUCUCAUCUGGUAAAGCGAAUGAUUAGAGGCCUUGGGGCCGAAACGACCUCAACCUAUUCUCAAACUUUAAAUGGGUGAGAUCUCUGGCUUUCUUGAACUGUGAAGCCACGAGCAUCUCGGAUCAGAGUGCCAAGUGGGCCAUUUUUGGUAAGCAGAACUGGCGCUGUGGGAUGAACCAAACGCAGAGUUAAGGCGCCCAACUCGACGCUCAUGGGACACCAUGAAAGGCGUUGGUUGCUUAAGACAGCAGGACGGUGGCCAUGGAAGUCGGAAUCCGCUAAGGAGUGUGUAACAACUCACCUGCCGAAGCAACUAGCCCUGAAAAUGGAUGGCGCUGAAGCGUCGAGCCUAUACUCUGCCGUCAGCGGCAAGUGGGGCGGCCGUGCGCGCCACCAAGCGCGUACGCGCCGUCACGAGGCCCUGACGAGUAGGAGGGUCGCGGCGGUGUGCGCAGAAGGGUCU